RNAcentral lists this ribosomal RNA (438 nucleotides) under Balaenoptera acutorostrata (minke whale). RNAcentral describes it as "partial 12S ribosomal RNA". It matches the Rfam family "Bacterial small subunit ribosomal RNA", at positions 780 to 1405 of the family's 1533-position model. The record is from RNAcentral. Lineage: Eukaryota; Metazoa; Chordata; Mammalia; Artiodactyla; Balaenopteridae.
AGAUACCCCACUAUGCUUAGCCGUAAACCCUAGUAGUCACAAAAACAAGACUAUUCGCCAGAGUACUACUAGCAACAGCCUAAAACUCAAAGGACUUGGCGGUGCUUCAUAUCCCUCUAGAGGAGCCUGUUCUGUAACCGAUAAACCCCGAUCAACCUCACCAACCCUUGCUACUUCAGUCUAUAUACCGCCAUCUUCAGCAAACCCCUAAAGGGAAUGAAAGUAAGCAUAACCAUCCUACAUAAAAACGUUAGGUCAAGGUGUAACCUAUGAGUUGGAAAGAAAUGGGCUACAUUUUCUACACUAAGAACAUCUCCUAUACCCACACGAAAGUUUUUAUGAAAUUUAAAAACCAAAGGAGGAUUUAGUAGUAAAUCAAGAGCAGAGUGCUUGAUUGAAUAAGGCCAUGGAGCACGCACACACCGCCCGUCACCCUCA